Molecule: ribosomal RNA, 466 nt
Filed under: uncultured bacterium
Lineage: Bacteria
Description: partial 16S ribosomal RNA
Rfam family: Bacterial small subunit ribosomal RNA
Source: RNAcentral
GACGAACGCUGGCGGCGUGCUUAACACAUGCAAGUCGAACGGAAAGGCCCUGCUUUUGUGGGGUGCUCGAGUGGCGAACGGGUGAGUAACACGUGAGUAACCUGCCCUUGACUUUGGGAUAACUUCAGGAAACUGGGGCUAAUACCGGAUAGGAGCUCCUGCUGCAUGGUGGGGUUGGAAAGUUUCGGCGGUUGGGGAUGGACUCGCGGCUUAUCAGCUUGUUGGUGGGGUAGUGGCUUACCAAGGCUUUGACGGGUAGCCGGCCUGAGAGGGUGACCGGCCACAUUGGGACUGAGAUACGGCCCAGACUCCUACGGGAGGCAGCAGUGGGGAAUAUUGCACAAUGGGCGGAAGCCUGAUGCAGCAACGCCGCGUGCGGGAUGACGGCCUUCGGGUUGUAAACCGCUUUCGCCUGUGACGAAGCGUGAGUGACGGUAAUGGGGAAAGAAGCACCGGCUAACUACGU